Molecule: ribosomal RNA, 582 nt
Filed under: Variovorax sp. BvIRHM063
Lineage: Bacteria; Pseudomonadati; Pseudomonadota; Betaproteobacteria; Burkholderiales; Comamonadaceae
Also listed under: 6 other names
Description: bacterial SSU rRNA
Rfam family: Bacterial small subunit ribosomal RNA
Source: RNAcentral
ACGGGUGAGUAAUACAUCGGAACGUGCCCAAUCGUGGGGGAUAACGCAGCGAAAGCUGUGCUAAUACCGCAUACGAUCUACGGAUGAAAGCAGGGGAUCGCAAGACCUUGCGCGAAUGGAGCGGCCGAUGGCAGAUUAGGUAGUUGGUGAGGUAAAGGCUCACCAAGCCUUCGAUCUGUAGCUGGUCUGAGAGGACGACCAGCCACACUGGGACUGAGACACGGCCCAGACUCCUACGGGAGGCAGCAGUGGGGAAUUUUGGACAAUGGGCGAAAGCCUGAUCCAGCCAUGCCGCGUGCAGGAUGAAGGCCUUCGGGUUGUAAACUGCUUUUGUACGGAACGAAACGGCCUUUUCUAAUAAAGAGGGCUAAUGACGGUACCGUAAGAAUAAGCACCGGCUAACUACGUGCCAGCAGCCGCGGUAAUACGUAGGGUGCAAGCGUUAAUCGGAAUUACUGGGCGUAAAGCGUGCGCAGGCGGUUAUGUAAGACAGUUGUGAAAUCCCCGGGCUCAACCUGGGAACUGCAUCUGUGACUGCAUAGCUAGAGUACGGUAGAGGGGGAUGGAAUUCCGCGUGUAGCA